GUCUCGAGACCACACCCAAGCCCCGCUCUUCUGGUCCUUGCUCCAGGUGCGAAUCCUCCUCUCGCAAUGGUGGCCUUUCCAGCACCCUGCAGAGAAAAAGUUGGGACUCCAACUCUGACUGGGCCUUAAAAGUCGCAAGCCAUUCCACCCCUUAGAAAUGUGAGAUUUGAAGGAAAGCCGAAAGGAUAAGUCAUUUUCCAAAUUUUCAUUUUUCCGAAUUCUCGGAGUAGGUGGCUGGUCGGUCCGUGCCAAGCUAAGAUGAGGCAGAUUCGCCACUAGCUGCAGUAUCGCCACAGGACCCGUUAAAAGUCACCCCGUGCCAGAUCCUCUAUAGAUGCAAUUGAGCUGGUGUGAUCAGGUGACAAGCAAGCCGUUCCUCAGUGGCACCAGUAGAUGGCACCGUAACGCAAGAGACUGAUCUUUACAUCUCCUGCGAGAACAAUCUGGUCCUGAAAGGGACAGCAGUGGGAGGAAUGGCAGCUGUGGAGUGAGGGACAGCUUGGUACAGGACGCACCAAAUGGUUCUAAAUACCUGGGAAGUGUUACCACAAGCUGCAGGCAAUGGCCCAGUUCUCCCAACAACAAAUGCGUCUGAUGUCACAAAAGUGCACCCCGAGUUUAAGAAUACCCAGAGAGGAACUAGGGAAGUGUUACAAUUGAAAUGUUUCCUUCUAUAUUGUCAGCUGACCAGAACCCUAAAAGUAUUAAUUAGGUACAACAAUACCUUCAUAGAUAUGGUAGCACAUGCCUACAACCUCAACACUUGGGAAGCUCAGACAGGAGGAUUGUUCCUGCUAAGGCAGUUCCAGGCAAGCCUGGGGCUACAUAGCAAGACCUUGUCCAAAUACAACAAACAAACAAACA
Mastomys coucha (southern multimammate mouse) is the source of this 864-nucleotide long non-coding RNA. RefSeq lists it as uncharacterized. The record is from RefSeq and is a predicted model, not a curated record. Lineage: Eukaryota; Metazoa; Chordata; Mammalia; Rodentia; Muridae. The transcript has 2 exons.